ACCAGGAUUUCCUUAGUAGCGGCGAGCGAACAGGAAGGAUCCCAGCACUGAAUCCCGCGGUUCCGCCGCACGGAAAUGUGGUGUUCGGGAGGGUCUGACUACCCCGAGGUGUCGCAUCGCGUCCAAGUCCAUCUUGAAUGGGGCCACUUACCCGCAGAAGGUGCUAGGCCCGUAGCGACCGGUACGUGCCUCGGGAGUAUCUCUCCUUAGAAUCGGGUUGCUUGAGAGUGCAGCUCUAAGUGGGUGGUAAACUCCAUCUAAGGCUAAAUACGACUACGAGACCGAUAGCGAAAAAGUACCGUGAGGGAAAGUUGAAAAGAAUUUUGAAGAGGGAGUUCAAGAGUACGUGAAACCGUUCAGGGGUAAACCUAAGAAACCCAAAAGAUCGAACGGGGAGAUUCAUCGUCAGGGGCGUCGGCUUGUCGUCGGUGGGCGAUGAUACGUUCCGACUACGUCGGAGCGGGCACGCUGCCGUGCGCGCAUGACCGGCGUCGUCGUCGUGCACCUCUCCCCUAGUAGAACGUCGCGAACCGCUGGGGUCUCGGUCUAGGGCCCGGGCAGGCUAACUGUCGCGUCGCAGGUUAUAUGGCACGCAGCAAACCCCCGGACGCCCGGCCGUCUACCCGGCGGUACUCGCACGGUAUCAGGCCGCAGCCCUCUCACAGGGCGCUCUUGUGCCUCAGGCCCGCCACGCCAAGCGCACGCCACGGUUACUCGGAGGUACGCACCAAGCGCCGUCCCAGGUCCUGGCCCGCUGUUGGCCGACGGUGAUCCUCUGACAGGCCUUACGGGGCGCGAUACGCGGGUGGCGUUCCUCGCUGUCCCGCGCGUCCAUCCCGAUAGGUCCCGAGAGGUCGGCGACGCUCUACUGCUUUGAGUA
Molecule: ribosomal RNA, 880 nt
Filed under: Anochetus altisquamis
Lineage: Eukaryota; Metazoa; Arthropoda; Insecta; Hymenoptera; Formicidae
Description: eukaryotic LSU rRNA
Rfam family: Eukaryotic large subunit ribosomal RNA
Source: RNAcentral